AUUGAACGCUGGCGGCAGGCCUAACACAUGCAAGUCGAGCGGAUGAAGGGAGCUUGCUCCUGGAUUCAGCGGCGGACGGGUGAGUAAUGCCUAGGAAUCUGCCUGGUAGUGGGGGAUAACGUCCGGAAACGGGCGCUAAUACCGCAUACGUCCUGAGGGAGAAAGUGGGGGAUCUUCGGACCUCACGCUAUCAGAUGAGCCUAGGUCGGAUUAGCUAGUUGGUGGGGUAAAGGCCUACCAAGGCGACGAUCCGUAACUGGUCUGAGAGGAUGAUCAGUCACACUGGAACUGAGACACGAUCCAGACUCCUACGGGAGGCAGCAGUGGGGAAUAUUGGACAAUGGGCGAAAGCCUGAUCCAGCCAUGCCGCGUGUGUGAAGAAGGUCUUCGGAUUGUAAAGCACUUUAAGUUGAGAGGAAGGGCAGUAAGUUAAUACCUUGCUGUUUUGACGUUACCAACAGAAUAAGCACCGGCUAACUUCGUG
RNAcentral lists this ribosomal RNA (484 nucleotides) under uncultured bacterium. RNAcentral's name for it is "partial 16S ribosomal RNA". It matches the Rfam family "Bacterial small subunit ribosomal RNA", at positions 30 to 507 of the family's 1533-position model. The record is from RNAcentral.